This is a long non-coding RNA of Gallus gallus (chicken), 823 nucleotides long. The record is from Ensembl. NCBI's taxonomy places the organism in Eukaryota, Metazoa, Chordata, Aves, Galliformes, Phasianidae.
UUUUCUUGGAUGAAGGCUGGUUCCUGUGAAGGAGUGUUGUGUAGCUAGAGAUCCUAUCGCUAGUUGGAUCUCACCAUGGAAGACAACUUUUGAAAUAUUUACAUUUUGUUGAUCAGAAAGAGAGCACAGUAACUACCACUGUAAUGGCUUCAGCCUAGAUGAACCUAGAUUUAAGGUUUCAUUUCCUUCCCCAAAUUAAGGAGAGGAUUGCAGGGUUAGCCCAUGAAGAAUCCACAAGCUUCAUGAUGUCAGAUGAGAGCCAUCUCCAGCUGUUGCCAGAAGGGACCUACUGCUGGCCAGAACUGAGCUGGAUGGACACACAUAGUUCCUUCAGCCUGUCUUCAAGCACUGAACUCUGUUUUGCUCACAUUCAUUGUGGUUUUUUGCUGACCUAACUUCACUGUCGUGGUACGUUCUAUGGAGCCCACAGUUGAACAUAGCACUCAGAUAUGGUUUCACAAGUGCAAGUUACACUCUUCUUAACAUAACCCAGUGCACAAUCGACCUUCUAUGAUCAAGGGUGUGAUAAUGAAGAGAACUAUUAGGUCUGCUUUUGUCUAGCAAGUCUUAUUCCAUAGUUUGCUGUGUGGCUUGAGAUUACUCUAUUCCUCUAUUACUCUAUUCAGAUGCAGAACUUUGCAUUUUCAUUUGUGGGACCUUAUGAUGUCCUGUUUGUUUCUUGCAGUACCCCGAAGAAAAUGAUUGUGCUCAUUUCAACAAAAAUAUGUGAAUGUUACUGUUGCAGUUCUUAUAGAAAAUUAUAAUCUGUGAAGCUCUUUUCUGGUGAUUUACUUGCAUUUUAUAAUCCCUGAAAUUAAAGCCC